Molecule: non-coding RNA, 21 nt
Filed under: Caenorhabditis elegans
Lineage: Eukaryota; Metazoa; Nematoda; Chromadorea; Rhabditida; Rhabditidae
Source: RNAcentral
UAGAUGGUGCAACAGAACCCG